UUCGGAUUGUAGUCUGCAACCCGACUACAUGAAGCUGGAAUCGCUAGUAAUCGCGGAUCAGAAUGCCGCGGUGAAUACGUUCCCGGGCCUUGUACACACCGCCCGUCACACCAUGGGAGUCGGAAAUGCCCGAAGCCUGUGACCCAACCUACGGGAGGGGGCAGCCGAAGGCAGGUCGGAUGACUGGGGUGAAGUCGUAACAAGGUAGC
This 209-nucleotide ribosomal RNA is filed under the name uncultured bacterium. Its description in RNAcentral is "partial 16S ribosomal RNA". It matches the Rfam family "Bacterial small subunit ribosomal RNA", at positions 1292 to 1500 of the family's 1533-position model. The record is from RNAcentral.